RNAcentral lists this ribosomal RNA (187 nucleotides) under uncultured rumen bacterium. Its description in RNAcentral is "partial 16S ribosomal RNA". It matches the Rfam family "Bacterial small subunit ribosomal RNA", at positions 340 to 524 of the family's 1533-position model. The record is from RNAcentral.
UACGGGAGGCAGCAGUGAGGAAUAUUGGUCAAUGGGCGCAAGCCUGAACCAGCCAUGCCGCGUGAAGGAAUAAGGCCCUAUGGGUCGUAAACUUCUUUUGUGGUGGAGCAAUAAGGUGUACGUGUACACCGAUGAGAGUACAUCACGAAUAAGCAUCGGCUAACUCCGUGCCAGCAGCCGCGGUAAU